Selaginella moellendorffii is the source of this 3324-nucleotide RNA transcript. It is a transcript of the gene named EIN3-binding F-box protein 1, with no coding region annotated. Lineage: Eukaryota; Viridiplantae; Streptophyta; Lycopodiopsida; Selaginellales; Selaginellaceae. The record is from RefSeq and is a predicted model, not a curated record. The transcript is spliced from 3 exons.
UGUUUGCCCUAAUCCUGGAAGGGCGAUUGGAGAAUGCGACGAACACCUCUGCCGCUCAUCGCCGGCGCGGUGCUGUAAGUGAAGCAAAUGCGUGAUUGAUUGAUGGCUUUGGGAACUCUAGGGCGGGCGUAGUGUCGGGGAAUUACGUUUUCAAGCAAGAUCUCCAGCGAUACUGGAGCGAGAAGCAAAAGGAAGCACUGGAAUCGCCCACUAGCGAUCAAUCCCAAGGACGUAGCGACCCAUCGCAAGAACACAGCGAUGAAGCGCUCGAAAAUUCGUCCCCGGCGGAUCAAUCGCAGAAGACGAUGGUAUAAACCCUAAAGCCUGCCAGCUGGCCUUUUGUACACGUGGCGGAAGUCUAGUGGAGGCAUCAUGUGUCUCUUUUACCUUUUGUCUUUGCUCUCUUUUUUCAUCAUCGGCGAAACCCUAAGGCAAAUUUUCAGGGAUCUGGGACGGGGCGCUCCAUCCUCGUCGAUCGACCGGCGAGAGCUCCAGGUAGCGUGAAUUCCCCCCUCCGCGACGAUUGCUGGAUUGGCGUGCGAGAGUUUUGGGGGAUUUCUCGCUCAAUGCGAGAGUGAAAUGGCCAUUAGGGAAGCGAGUGAAUCCAGAGCAAGCAUUCUAUCGAGCCGGCACCACAAGAUUCUGGUCAGAUUGAUGGUGAGGUUGAGUGAACAGUAUCUUCGAUCCCAGAGAAAGAGGGAAGAGGUCUCGGCGGAGGCGAGCGACUGUCAGGUGGCGGAGUGGACGGGCGACGAUGCGUAUUUCUUGCGCGAUCGCGAGAGCGGCAGUCACUGGAAGAGGACCAAGAGCAAUCACUCCUGCAAGAGGCCGAGAAUCGACGAAGAGGUGGGCAGUAGCUGCAGUAGUAUGGAUGGAAUUCCGGACGAAAUCCUGGUAGUGAUAUUUGGAUCGAUCCUCUCGGCUCGAGACCGCUCUAGCUGCGCUUCGGUGUGUAGAAGAUGGCUCAUGCUACUUACGCAUAUGCCUCGGCAAGAACUUCCGCGAGAGGUAUGUUCAGAGGACUCGGACGACGCAGUGAAUCAGCCGUGUAGAGCAGGCUCGGCUCCACAGGAAGAAGUUUGGACGCUGGAGAAGCAGCCUCACUGGGCUCUCGGUGAUCUCUCUCGGUGUCUGGAAGGAAAGAAAGCCACAGACGUCCGGCUGGCCGCCAUCGCUGUUGGAACAGGUGCUCACGGUGGUCUCGGAAAGUUGGUCAUUCGAGGAGGACCUGGUGAGCGCUCUGCGAAGGGUGUCACUGAUAUCGGGCUGACGACCAUCGGGAUUUGCUGCAAUGCUUUGAGGGGGCUCACGCUGUGGGAUUGUCCAAACGUUGGAGAUAGCUCGCUGGAGAGCAUUGCUAGAGGUUGCCGGCUUCUCCAGAGCUUGGACCUUCUCAAGUGUCCCAACGUCAGCGAUGCUGGAUUGGAGGCGGUGUCCAGGGGAUGCUUGCGGCUGUCCAACUUGAGCAUCGAGUCUUGCGACGGGAUUGGGAAUGCCGGUAUCAAGGCGAUUGCGAAGAGCUGCUGUUACCUCCAGACGCUUUCGCUAAGCAGGUGUUCCAACAUCAACAGCCACGCGAUAACGUCGGUAAGCAAGCACUGCGUAGCUCUGAAAAAGCUCAAGCUGGAAAAGAUUGGAAUCAACGACCGGGGCCUGGCAUUUCUUACGCAUCACUGCAAGUCGCUUACAAAGCUGGUUUUUUCGGGGCUAGACGUGACGCAGGAAGGUUUCAUCAGCCUUGCACUUCCGGACGGCCUGAAGUAUCUCAAAGUGAUCGUUCUAAAUGCCUGCCAUGGAGUCACGGACCAGUUUUUGUCGAGCCUGGGAAAAUCAUGCAGCUACCUGAACAGGCUGCUGCUCAUCGACUGCGACAACAUUACCGAUCAGGGACUUUGCGCAUUCGUGGAUGGCUGCCAGCGUUUGAGGGGACUGCACAUAGAGAAGUGCCGGAGCAUCACGUAUGCUGGCCUGGCUUCCGUCCUGACAACCACCGCUGAGACGCUCAAGAGUCUCCAGGUUUGCAAGUGCUCUGGGAUUCAAGACUCCAGCUUGACGGCUUCCGCAUCUUUCAAAUGCUCCGGCCUCAAGUCGCUGGUUGUCAAUCACUCGGAAGGGAUCGGAAACAGGUGUCUGGAGAUGGCUGGAUUCGUCUUCCCUGCGGUUCAGCACUUGGACCUUUGUGGGAUCAGCAAGCUCAGCGACACGGGACUGUUAGCGUUUCUAGAGACCAGUGGCUCGAGCUUAGUCUUCCUCAACCUUAGCGACUGCGUUGAGCUAACAGACAAGGCAAUAGUUGGCGUCUCGCGGAAGUGCUUCGAGCUACAGACAGUGAUACUGGACGGCUGUGUCAAGGUUAGCGACAAGAGCGUGGGGGUCUUAGCCAGCCAGUGCAGGUCUUUACAAGAACUGGACGUGUCCAAUUGUUCCAUCACCGACGAUGGUAUUGUCGCGGUGGUGAUCUCCGUCGGACCGACUCUCAAGACGCUGUCCUUGUCCGGUUGCAGCCGCGUGACGGACGAGUCACUGCCAACGAUCCAGAAGAUGUGCGAUUCUUUGACAGCUCUGAAUCUCAAGAACUGUAGCGGCUUUACAGCGGCGGCCCUGGAGAAGUUCGUGUCGGAUCUGGGGACGCGUUGUGACAUACUCAUGCCGUAGAACACGAGGAUCAACAAGCAGCACACCACCACACAGAGUCUGUCUGGAGCAGAGCAAGCAGCAGCAGCGAGCAGCGAGCAGUGACAACUUGAUCGUCUCCGUGCGACGCGAGCAAACACCCUAAGCUAUGUUUUGCUGCGUUCAUCCACAUGGUCUUCCUUGCAUUUGAGCAGGCCUUGUGACGUCGUGGUGCUGUACAAAGACUCCAGGCUUUUCUCGUACAGAUUACACAGGCUAUUAAACAUCACAACAAUCGAUUUGUUCAGCUUAAGCAAGAAGAAGCUUCGUAAGCUCUGGGCCCCGAGAAGGGGAAGAAGAAAAAGAGUCCGAGAUGGAGAGUCCGAGCUCGUCUCGUCCGAAUGGAAACAAACAAGCACUCAUGCGAGUUUGACUCCAUCCAACUCCAAGCGAGUUAGAAAAAUGCCUAGAGUUUCCAUUGUCCAAGGCGGCGAAGACGAUGCAUUGCCAACACGCUAUGGAUUUGACGACAAGAGUUUCUUGCCACGAGUAAACAAAGGCAAAAGGCUAGCUCUAGGAAAAUGUUAGAAGGGCCACGGAUAUUCGCCUGCGUGGGCCAGGAAGAUUCGAUCUUUCACCACCUUUCAAUGGUGGGCGCCCAAACAUUUAAGCACCACCACCGAGGAUAUAAAAAUAAAGGCUCGCAAACCA